GGUUAAGCGACUAAGCGUACACGGUGGAUGCCUAGGCAAUCAGAGGCGAUGAAGGACGUGCUAAUCUGCGAAAAGCGUCGGUAAGGUGAUAUGAACCGUUAUAACCGACGAUGUCCGAAUGGGGAAACCCAGUGCAAUUCGUUGCACUAUCGUUUGAUGAAUCCAUAGUCAAACGAGGCGAACCGGGGGAACUGAAACAUCUCAGUACCCCGAGGAAAAGAAAUCAACCGAGAUUCCCCUAGUAGCGGCGAGCGAACGGGGAGCAGCCCAGAGUCUUAAUCAGCAUCAGCAUCAGGAGAACGGUCUGGAAAGGCCGGCAAUAAAGGGUGAUAGCCCCGUAUCCGAAGGUGUUGGUGUUGUGAACUCGAUGAGUAGGGCGGGACACGUGUUAUCCUGUCUGAAUAUGGGGGGACCAUCCUCCAAGGCUAAAUACUCCUGAUUGACCGAUAGUGAACCAGUACCGUGAGGGAAAGGCGAAAAGAACCCCGGCGAGGGGAGUGAAAUAGAACCUGAAACCGUGUACGUACAAGCAGUGGGAGCCUUGAUUUAUCAGGGUGACUGCGUACCUUUUGUAUAAUGGGUCAGCGACUUAUAUUCUGUAGCAAGGUUAACCGAAUAGGGGAGCCGUAGGGAAACCGAGUCUUAACUGGGCGAAUGAGUUGCAGGGUAUAGACCCGAAACCCGGUGAUCUAGCCAUGGGCAGGUUGAAGGUUGGGUAACACUAACUGGAGGACCGAACCGACUAAUGUUGAAAAAUUAGCGGAUGACUUGUGGCUGGGGGUGAAAGGCCAAUCAAACCGGGAGAUAGCUGGUUCUCCCCGAAAGCUAUUUAGGUAGCGCCUCGUGAACUCAUCUUCGGGGGUAGAGCACUGUUUCGGCUAGGGGGUCAUCCCGACUUACCAACCCGAUGCAAACUACGAAUACCGAAGAAUGUUAUCACGGGAGACACACGGCGGGUGCUAACGUUCGUCGUGAAGAGGGAAACAACCCAGACCGCCAGCUAAGGUCCCAAAGUCAUGGUUAAGUGGGAAACGAAGUGGGAAGGCUCAGACAGCCAGGAUGUUGGCUUAGAAGCAGCCAUCAUUUAAAGAAAGCGUAAUAGCUCACUGGUCGAGUCGGCCUGCGCGGAAGAUGUAACGGGGCUAAACCAUGCACCGAAGCUGCGGCAGCGACAUGUAAAUGUUGUUGGGUAGGGGAGCGUUCUGUAAGCCUGUGAAGGUGUGCUGCGAGGCAUGCUGGAGGUAUCAGAAGUGCGAAUGCUGACAUAAGUAACGAUAAUGCGGGUGAAAAACCCGCACGCCGGAAGACCAAGGGUUCCUGUCCAACGUUAAUCGGGGCAGGGUGAGUCGACCCCUAAGGCGAGGCAGAAAUGCGUAGUCGAUGGGAAACAGGUUAAUAUUCCUGUACUGGUGAUAAUUGCGAUGGGGGGACGGAGAAGGCUAGGCUGGCCGGGCGACGGUUGUCCCGGUUUAAGGAUGUAGGUGGGCGAAUUAGGCAAAUCCGGUUCGCUAUACACUGAGGUCUGAUGACGAGUCACUACGGUGGCGAAGUAGCUCAUGCCCCGCUUCCAGGAAAAGCCUCUAAGCUCUAGAUUAUCAUUAAUCGUACCCCAAACCGACACAGGUGGUCAGGUAGAGAAUACUCAGGCGCUUGAGAGAACUCGGGUGAAGGAACUAGGCAAAAUGGUGCCGUAACUUCGGGAGAAGGCACGCUGGCAUUAGGUGAAGUCCCUUGCGGAUGGAGCUGAAGCCAGUCGCAGAUACCAGCUGGCUGCAACUGUUUAUUAAAAACACAGCACUGUGCAAACACGAAAGUGGACGUAUACGGUGUGACGCCUGCCCGGUGCUGGAAGGUUAAUUGAUGGGGUUAUCCGUAAGGAGAAGCUCUUGAUCGAAGCCCCAGUAAACGGCGGCCGUAACUAUAACGGUCCUAAGGUAGCGAAAUUCCUUGUCGGGUAAGUUCCGACCUGCACGAAUGGCGUAAUGAUGGCCAGGCUGUCUCCACCCGAGACUCAGUGAAAUUGAACUCGCUGUGAAGAUGCAGUGUACCCGCGGCAAGACGGAAAGACCCCGUGAACCUUUACUAUAGCUUGACACUGAACAUUGAGCCUUGAUGUGUAGGAUAGGUGGGAGGCUUUGAAGUGUGGACGCCAGUCUGCAUGGAGCCAACCUUGAAAUACCACCCUUUAAUGUUUGAUGUUCUAACGUUGCCCCGUGAUCCGGGGUGCGGACAGUGUCUGGUGGGUAGUUUGACUGGGGCGGUCUCCUCCCAAAGCGUAACGGAGGAGCACGAAGGUUGGCUAAGCAUGGUCGGACAUCAUGCGGUUAGUGCAAAGGCAUAAGCCAGCUUGACUGCGAGAGUGACGGCUCGAGCAGGUACGAAAGUAGGUCUUAGUGAUCCGGUGGUUCUGAAUGGAAGGGCCAUCGCUCAACGGAUAAAAGGUACUCCGGGGAUAACAGGCUGAUACCGCCCAAGAGUUCAUAUCGACGGCGGUGUUUGGCACCUCGAUGUCGGCUCAUCACAUCCUGGGGCUGAAGUAGGUCCCAAGGGUAUGGCUGUUCGCCAUUUAAAGUGGUACGCGAGCUGGGUUUAGAACGUCGUGAGACAGUUCGGUCCCUAUCUGCCGUGGGCGUUGGAAGAUUGAAAGGGGCUGCUCCUAGUACGAGAGGACCGGAGUGGACGCACCGCUGGUGUUCGGGUUGUCAUGCCAAUGGCACUGCCCGGUAGCUAAGUGCGGAAGAGAUAACCGCUGAAAGCAUCUAAGCGGGAAACUUGCCUUGAGAUGAGUCUUCCCUGACUCUUUAAGGGUCCUAAAGGAACGUUUAAGACGAAGACGUUGAUAGGCUGGGUGUGUAAGCGUAGCGAUACGUUGAGCUAACCAGUACUAAUGAACCGUGAGGCUUAACCUG
Molecule: ribosomal RNA, 2909 nt
Filed under: Providencia stuartii
Lineage: Bacteria; Pseudomonadati; Pseudomonadota; Gammaproteobacteria; Enterobacterales; Morganellaceae
Description: 23S ribosomal RNA
Rfam family: Bacterial large subunit ribosomal RNA
Source: RNAcentral